AGGGAGAUAGUUCAGUGGUAGAACAUGGGAUUGUGGUUUUAAGAUCAGGGUCCGAUUCCCUGUCUUCCUA
RNAcentral lists this transfer RNA (70 nucleotides) under Naegleria gruberi. It matches the Rfam family "tRNA". From Rfam's summary of the family: Transfer RNA (tRNA) molecules are approximately 80 nucleotides in length. Their secondary structure includes four short double-helical elements and three loops (D, anti-codon, and T loops). The record is from Rfam by way of RNAcentral. Lineage: Eukaryota; Heterolobosea; Eutetramitea; Acrasida; Naegleriidae.